CCGGACCCCACUGCUAUCGAGGUGGGACUAAGCCAUGCUAGUUGAGCGCACAGAACUAUGUCUGUGAGCGGCACACUGCUCAGUAACACGUACCUAACCUACCCUUAGGACGUGGACAACCCCAAGAAAUUGGGGCUAAUCCGCGAUAGAUGUAUUGUCCUGGAAUGGUAUUACUUCUAAAGGUAUCCCGUACCUGUUUGGUAUAUGCCUAAGGAUGGGGCUGCGGCCGAUCAGGAUGUUGGUGAGGUAAUGGCUCACCAAACCUUUGACCGGUACGGGCCAUGAGAGUGGUACCCCGGACAUGGACACUGAAACAAGGGUCCAGGCCCUACGGGGCGCAACAGGCGCGAAACCUCCUCAAUGCACUUACGUGCUAAGGGGCUACCUCGAGUGCCACCUGAUGAAGGUGGCUUUUCCUAGGUCUAAAAAGCCUUGGGAAUAACAGGGGGGCAAGACUGGUGUCAGCCGCCGCAGAAACACCAUCCCCUCGAGUGGUGGGGAUGAUUAUUGGGCCUAAAGCGUCCGUAUCCUGCCGUGUAACUUUCCCGUUGAAUCCAGCGUCUUAAACGUUGGACCGCGGGAAAUACUGUACGGCUAGAGAGUGGGAGAGGUCAGCGGUAUUCUGGGUGUAGGGGCGAAAUCCUUUGAUCCCCGGAGCACCACCCGUGGCAAAGGCUGCUGUCUAGAACACGUCUGACGGUCAGGGACGAAACCUGGGGUAGCGAGCCUGAUUACAUACCCGGGUAGUCGCAGCCUUAAACUAUGCAUGCUACGUGUUGGGUUGGCCACCAGCCACCCUACCGCCUCAGGGAAGCCUUUACGCAUGCCACCUGGGAAGUACUAUCGCGAGGUUGACACUUAGGGGAGUUGGCUGGGGAGCAC
This 882-nucleotide ribosomal RNA is filed under the name uncultured archaeon. RNAcentral describes it as "bacterial SSU rRNA". It matches the Rfam family "Archaeal small subunit ribosomal RNA", at positions 17 to 879 of the family's 1478-position model. The record is from RNAcentral.